CCUACGGGAGGCAGUAGUGAGGAAUAUUGGUCAAUGGACGGAAGUCUGAACCAGCCAUGCCGCGUGCAGGAAGACGGCUCUAUGAGUUGUAAACUGCUUUUGUACAAGGGUAAACCUGAAUACGUGUAUUCAGCUGAAAGUACUGUACGACUAAGGAUCGGCUAACUCCGUGCCAGCAGCCGCGGUAAUACGGAGGAUCCAAGCGUUAUCCGGAUUUAUUGGGUUUAAAGGGUGCUUAGUCGGAUUGAUAAGUUAGAGGUGAAAUGUCCGAGCUUAACUCGGGAACUGCCUCUAAUACUGUUGAUCUAGAGAGUAGAUGCGGUAGGCGGAAUGUAUGGUGUAGCGGGGAAAUGCUUAGAGAUCAUACAGAACACCGAUUGCGAAGGCAGCUUACCAAUCUAUAUCUGACGUUGAGGCACGAAAGCGUGGGGAGCAAACAGGAUUAGAUACCCGGGUAGUC
RNAcentral lists this ribosomal RNA (460 nucleotides) under uncultured bacterium. RNAcentral's name for it is "partial 16S ribosomal RNA". It matches the Rfam family "Bacterial small subunit ribosomal RNA", at positions 338 to 795 of the family's 1533-position model. The record is from RNAcentral.